RNAcentral lists this ribosomal RNA (497 nucleotides) under uncultured bacterium. Its description in RNAcentral is "partial 16S ribosomal RNA". It matches the Rfam family "Bacterial small subunit ribosomal RNA", at positions 28 to 507 of the family's 1533-position model. The record is from RNAcentral.
GAUGAACGCUGGCGGCGUGCCUAAUACAUGCAAGUCGAGCGAACGGACGAGAAGCUUGCUUCUCUGAUGUUAGCGGCGGACGGGUGAGUAACACGUGGAUAACCUACCUAUAAGACUGGGAUAACUUCGGGAAACCGUAGCUAAUACCGGAUAAUAUUUUGAACCGCAUGGUUCAAAAGUGAAAGACGGUCUUGCUGUCACUUAUAGAUGGAUCCGCGCUGCAUUAGCUAGUUGGUAAUGUAACGGCUUACCAAGGCAACGAUGCAUAGCCGACCUGAGAGGGUGAUCGGCCACACUGGAACUGAGACACGGUCCAGACUCCUACGGGAGGCAGCAGUAGGGAAUCUUCCGCAAUGGGCGAAAGCCUGACGGAGCAACGCCGCGUGAGUGAUGAAGGUCUUCGGAUCGUAAAACUCUGUUAUUAGGGAAGAACAUAUGUGUAAGUAACUGUGCACAUCUUGACGGUACCUAAUCAGAAAGCCACGGCUAACUACGUG